This 408-nucleotide ribosomal RNA is filed under the name uncultured bacterium. RNAcentral describes it as "bacterial SSU rRNA". It matches the Rfam family "Bacterial small subunit ribosomal RNA", at positions 355 to 776 of the family's 1533-position model. The record is from RNAcentral.
UCGAGAAUAUUCCACAAUGGACGAAAGUCUGAUGGAGCGACGCCGCGUGCAGGAUGAAGGCCUUCGGGUCGUAAACUGCUUUUGUAAGGGAAGAAUGCAAAUGACGGUACCUUACGAAUAAGAGGUUACUAACUCUGUGCCAGCAGUAGCGGUAAUACAGAGACCUCAAGCGUUAUCCGGAUUUAUUGGGCGUAAAGAGCUGGUAGGUGGUUAUAUUAGUCAGGUGUCAAAUCUUCGAGCUCAACUCGAAAACUGCACUUGAAACGGUAUAACUAGAGGGUGUGAGAGAUCUAUGGAACUCAUGGUGUAGCAGUGAAAUGCGUUGAUAUCAUGAGGAACACCAAAGGCGAAGGCAUUAGAUUGGCACACUCCUGACACUGAGCAGCGAAAGCGUGGGUAGCGAAUGGG